Molecule: ribosomal RNA, 180 nt
Filed under: Escherichia coli
Lineage: Bacteria; Pseudomonadati; Pseudomonadota; Gammaproteobacteria; Enterobacterales; Enterobacteriaceae
Also listed under: 2 other names
Description: partial 16S ribosomal RNA
Rfam family: Bacterial small subunit ribosomal RNA
Source: RNAcentral
AAAUUGAAGAGUUUGAUCAUGGCUCAGAUUGAACGCUGGCGGCAGGCCUAACACAUGCAAGUCGAACGGUAACAGGAAUCAGCUUGCUGAUUUGCUGACGAGUGGCGGACGGGUGAGUAAUGUCUGGGAAACUGCCUGAUGGAGGGGGAUAACUACUGGAAACGGUAGCUAAUACCGCAU